Molecule: long non-coding RNA, 1447 nt
Filed under: Citrus maxima (pomelo)
Lineage: Eukaryota; Viridiplantae; Streptophyta; Magnoliopsida; Sapindales; Rutaceae
Description: long non-coding RNA (CMAX_LNC002909)
Source: RNAcentral
CUUUCUUUCUUUCUUUGAAGCACAAACCCUACCAACAGCUAGCAAUGAUGUUGUCUUCAUCUCUUUCUCUCACCACCACCGACACCAACACCGCUACCACUACCACUACCACGCCUUCUUCUUCUCCAUUGCCAUCAUUGUUCCCACGAACCCCGAAGUCUCGUCCUCAUCAUUAUCAUCACUUGAGCAACAAAAAGGAGCAAAAAAGAUCAGAAACAUUAUUCAAUUCAACCAACAUGUACACACGCAUAUAUAUGUACCAGACUCAACCCCUUUUACAUGUCUGUACGUAUGAGCUUUGUUAUUGGUUUUGAGUGAAGGGUUUACUAGCUAGCUCAGAAAGACUUUCAAAAGUCACUUUUUCAUUUGGGGAAUCAAGCAUCUUGGUCCGAUGAAGGUUUAAUUUGCUAGAUCAAGCAAAUCUUAGUUUUUGCUUGUUCAAGUAUUUUAGAUCUACCAGCAGCUUGUUGCGACUUAAUUAGUCUAAGGUUUACUCUUCUUGUUUUAAUUACUUUUAGGCUUUAGCUAAGAAGGAAUCUUGUUAUAAUAAGAUUUAAUGUUCUGUAACUUUUGUUUCUUUAUGAAGAGAACUUAUGAAUGUUCGAUAAUUUUCUAUCGACAACUUUGUGUUGUUUAAUUUUGCACUUUCAUUUUGAGUGGUUUGUGUGUGGAGAAAUUAAUGGAUCAAAUUAGAUUUUCUUCAGAAACAUAUACAAAUAUACUUGAAGUUGCUUUGUAUACUUUCAAUCACAUAUUUCAGUGCUUAUUUUCACUGAAUAUUUUCGGAAAAUACAUAGCUCUUCCCCAUCAAAUGCAACUAUAUAUAUAUAUAUUAUCACUCAGUUUUAUUUUUUCUUUAUUAGUUUGUCAUUAAAUGGGUACUCUCGCAAGCUAUUGCCUUCUCGAAAGCCAUGGAUAUAUAUUUGUUGGACGAUCAAGAGGUUUGUGAUUUCCUUGCUUGGGUUUCUCUUUCUCGUAUAAUUAAUUUCUUCAAUUUUUUUUUUCUCUCUAUUCUCGAGCAUUUUAGCCUACGGAGUAUAGAGUUUAUCAUAUAAAGAUUGACCCAAUGUUUUGUUUGCUAAGUUAAUUAAUUGUGAGGAAUUUUUCACCUUUACAAAUUAAUGACCCCUUGUUGCAUGAAAUUUAUAGAGUUCAGUUUCUAUAUCAAUUGAUCGAGAAGCACAUAAGCUUUCUUGAAUUGAUGUUUCUAUCGACUGCUGCUGCCGAUUACAAAUUGAUGAUGGCUUUCACAGGAUUGAUUAUCUCUCAAGGACAGCCUGCUGCUGCAUGUAAGCAUGAACAAUGUAUUCCACGAACGGCCAGUCUAAGCCAUAAUAUAUAAGUGGCUUCAUUUUGUAACCUUCUUGUACACUCUUUUCCAAAUUAAAGAGAGUUCCAACUUCAACGUUUGCCUAAUUAAAUUUCUAUAGCUUCUUACGGAACCAAU